GACGAACGCUGGCGGCGUGCUUAACACAUGCAAGUCGAACGGAAAGGCCUGCUUUCCCUUGUGGAUUGCGGGUACUCGAGUGGCGAACGGGUGAGUAACACGUGAGUGAUCUGCCCCCAACUUGGGUAUAAGCCUGGGAAACUGGGUCUAAUUCCCGAUAGGACUGCAGGGUGGUGCCUGUGGUGGAACACGAUUUUCUAGUGGUUGGGGAUGAGCUCGCGGCCUAUCAGCUUGUUGGUGGGGUAAUGGCCUACCAAGGCGGCGACGGGUAGCCGGCCUGGGAGGGUGGACGGCCACAGUGGGACUGAGAUACGGCCCAGACGCCUACGGGAGGCAGCAGUGGGGAAUAGUGCACAAUGGGCGGAAGCCUGAUGCAGCGACGCAGCGUGGGGGAUGACGGCCUUCGGGUUGUAAACUCCUUUCGACCGCGAGGAAGCCACCUGGUUGGAAGGGUGGUGACGGUAGUGGUAGAAGAAGCACCGGCUAACUACGUG
Molecule: ribosomal RNA, 494 nt
Filed under: uncultured bacterium
Lineage: Bacteria
Description: partial 16S ribosomal RNA
Rfam family: Bacterial small subunit ribosomal RNA
Source: RNAcentral